Long non-coding RNA from Rhagoletis zephyria (snowberry fruit fly), 103 nucleotides. RefSeq lists it as uncharacterized. Lineage: Eukaryota; Metazoa; Arthropoda; Insecta; Diptera; Tephritidae. The record is from RefSeq and is a predicted model, not a curated record.
GUGGUGACAAUUGUUCGUAACAAAAUUAGCUUGUUACAAAAUGUUCGGUUACAAGCAGAAUAGGUCUGUAAACAGAUGGUGAAAAGGUUCUUUAUUGCAUACA